Molecule: long non-coding RNA, 510 nt
Filed under: Capsicum annuum
Lineage: Eukaryota; Viridiplantae; Streptophyta; Magnoliopsida; Solanales; Solanaceae
Description: long non-coding RNA (CANN_LNC015814)
Source: RNAcentral
AAAAUACAAGAGACAAUAAAUAGUAACAAAAACAACAAAUAGUACAUCAGAGAAUAUGAUACAAUAGCAACAUACCCAACGUUGUUUCAUAAAAUGGAUUUUGAAGAGAAUAGAGUGUCUGCAAACAAUACAUCUUUACCAUAGGUGGGGUAGAGAUGUUAUUUUCUAUAGAAACUUGAUUCAAGACAAUAACAGGAUAAAAAAGACGUAAUGAAAAUACAAGAGACAAUAAAUAAUAACAAAAACAACAAUAGUAGCAGACAACACGCAGAUGCUCUCAAAUACAACAGCAACAUACCGAACGUAGUUCUAUAAAAUGGAGUUUGAAGAUUAUUAGUGUGUGGAAACAAUACUUUUGAAGAUAAUAGAGUGUGUAAACAAUACCUCUAUCCCAUAGGUGAGGUAGAGAUGUUAUUUUCUAUAAAAACCCGGUUCAAGACAAUAACAAGCUAAAAAAGACAUAAGUAAAAUGCAAAGACAAUAGAUAGUAAUAAAAACAACACAUAAUAG